CAGGACGAACGCUGGCGGCGUGCCUAAUACAUGCAAGUCGAACGGUCUUUCUAUGGAAGCUUGCUUCCACUGAGAAGAUAGUGGCGAACGGGUGAGUAACAACGUGGGUAACCUGCCCAUAAGAGGGGGAUAACAUCCGGAAACGGGUGCUAAUACCGCAUAGUUUUCUUGAUCGCAUGAUCGGGAAAGGAAAGACGGCCUUUGUGCUGUCGCUUAUGGAUGGACCCGCGGCGUAUUAGUUAGUUGGUGAGGUAACGGCUCACCAAGACGAUGAUACGUAGCCGACCUGAGAGGGUGAUCGGCCACAUUGGGACUGAGACACGGCCCAAACUCCUACGGGAGGCAGCAGUAGGGAAUCUUCCGCAAUGGACGAAAGUCUGACGGAGCAACGCCGCGUGAGUGAAAGAAGGUUUUCGGAUCGUAAAACUCUGUUGUCAGAGAAGAACAAGUUGGAGAGUAACUGCUCCAGCCUUGACGGUAUCUGACCAGAAAGCCACGGCUAACUACGUGCCAGCCGCCGC
Molecule: ribosomal RNA, 521 nt
Filed under: uncultured bacterium
Lineage: Bacteria
Description: bacterial SSU rRNA
Rfam family: Bacterial small subunit ribosomal RNA
Source: RNAcentral